AGCGAACGCUGGCGGCAGGCUUAACACAUGCAAGUCGAGCGGGCACUUUCGGGUGUCCGCGGCGGACGGGUGAGUAACGCGUGGGAACGUGCCCUCUGGUUCGGAAUAACUCAGGGAAACUUGAGCUAAUACCGGAUACGCCCUUUUGGGGAAAGGCUUGCUGCCGGAGGAUCGGCCCGCGUCUGAUUAGCUAGUUGGUGAGGUAACGGCUCACCAAGGCGACGAUCAGUAGCUGGUCUGAGAGGAUGAUCAGCCACACUGGGACUGAGGCACGGCCCAGACUCCUACGGGAGGCAGCAGUGGGGAAUAUUGGACAAUGGGCGCAAGCCUGAUCCAGCCAUGCCGCGUGAGUGAUGAAGGCCUUAGGGUUGUAAAGCUCUUUUAUCCGGGACGAUAAUGACGGUACCGGAGGAAUAAGCCCCGGCUAACUUCGUG
This 435-nucleotide ribosomal RNA is filed under the name uncultured bacterium. RNAcentral's name for it is "partial 16S ribosomal RNA". It matches the Rfam family "Bacterial small subunit ribosomal RNA", at positions 29 to 507 of the family's 1533-position model. The record is from RNAcentral.